AGCUGCAAAGCUGUCAAAAUAGCAGAACAGUGGCCUGGAACUCUGCCCUCCAGAGGUCCAGGGCAUGUGGGCAGACUCACAGAAACAGAUGGCUAGACAUGGAAGAAAGACUAGAUUUUGAUUUUUUGCUUUAUGAAUUCAGCAAAUUGGGCACAGCAGCAAUAGUCAGAUUCUAUCUGGUUCACUCCCAGCAAACCAGACUCUUGUGGAUCUGCAAGGCUUCACGUGGCUCCAUUUCUUUUCCAAGAUGAUCUCACCUUGCAAAUGGGGUUUCAUCCUGAUCAGGAUGCCUGAGGCUUUGCAAGGGAGAGUAUUAUGCUGGUUGGCCUGUCGGAGUCUCCAUGAUGCAUCCCCACCACCCACCCCUCCAGUUCUCAGGCCUGCAAUGCUUUUCCUGCAUUUCUUCACCUGGACAGCUUUCAACAUUCCUCAAGGCUCAGCUGAGUAAUCACUUCCUCCAGGAUGCCUUCCCUGAGUCCAU
Molecule: long non-coding RNA, 481 nt
Organism: Neofelis nebulosa (Clouded leopard)
Lineage: Eukaryota; Metazoa; Chordata; Mammalia; Carnivora; Felidae
Exons: 3
Source: RefSeq, a predicted model, not a curated record